AUCGCUAUGGCUUAGUGGAAAAGCGCCAGGCUCAUAACCUGGAGAUCCAAGGAUCGAGACCUUGUGGCGAUA
Non-coding RNA from Vanrija pseudolonga, 72 nucleotides. The record is from the annotation of a RefSeq genome assembly. NCBI's taxonomy places the organism in Eukaryota, Fungi, Basidiomycota, Tremellomycetes, Trichosporonales, Trichosporonaceae.